UCAACGCUAAACUCGAUCAUG
Molecule: microRNA, 21 nt
Filed under: Solanum lycopersicum (tomato)
Lineage: Eukaryota; Viridiplantae; Streptophyta; Magnoliopsida; Solanales; Solanaceae
Description: sly-miR397-3p
Gene: sly-miR397-3p
Source: miRBase by way of RNAcentral